UACGGAGGGGGCUAGCGUUGUUCGGAAUUACUGGGCGUAAAGGGCGCGUAGGCGGCCCUGUAAGUCAGGCGUGAAAGCCCCGGGCUCAACCUGGGAAUUGCGCUUGGUACUGCGGGGCUAGAGUGCGGGAGAGGUGAGUGGAAUUCCCAGUGUAGAGGUGAAAUUCGUAGAUAUUGGGAAGAACACCAGUGGCGAAGGCGACUCACUGGACCGCUACUGACGCUGAGGCGCGAAAGCGUGGGGAGCAAACAGG
RNAcentral lists this ribosomal RNA (253 nucleotides) under uncultured bacterium. Its description in RNAcentral is "partial 16S ribosomal RNA". It matches the Rfam family "Bacterial small subunit ribosomal RNA", at positions 524 to 776 of the family's 1533-position model. The record is from RNAcentral.